RNAcentral lists this ribosomal RNA (465 nucleotides) under uncultured bacterium. RNAcentral's name for it is "partial 16S ribosomal RNA". It matches the Rfam family "Bacterial small subunit ribosomal RNA", at positions 338 to 795 of the family's 1533-position model. The record is from RNAcentral.
CCUACGGGAGGCAGCAGUAGGGAAUCUUCCACAAUGGGCGAAAGCCUGAUGGAGCAACGCCGCGUGGGUGAAGAAGGUCUUCGGAUCGUAAAACCCUGUUGUUAGAGAAGAAAGUGCGUGAGAGUAACUGUUCACGUUUCGACGGUAUCUAACCAGAAAGCCACGGCUAACUACGUGCCAGCAGCCGCGGUAAUACGUAGGUGGCAAGCGUUAUCCGGAUUUAUUGGGCGUAAAGGGAACGCAGGCGGUCUUUUAAGUCUGAUGUGAAAGGCUUCGGCUUAACCGGAGUAGUGCAUUGGAAACUGGGAGACUUGAGUGCAGAAGAGGAGAGUGGAACUCCAUGUGUAGCGGUGAAAUGCGUAGAUAUAAGGAAGAACACCAGUGGCGAAAGCGGCUCUCUGGUCUGUAACUGACGCUGAGGUUCGAAAGCGUGGGUAGCAAACAGGAUUAGAUACCCCAGUAGUC